GCGCCGUGUACCUGUACAAUAGCAAGGAUCGCGUGGACGAAAUUCGCCGCGCUUGAUUCAGCGAUUUUAUUCGGCGGUCGUGGAUCGAUAGGAGGAUUCGCGCCGCGAGGCGCGGUCGGCGAGAGGCGACAGCGGGCCGGUAGAUGGCGCCACUGGUGUUGUUAGCCGAGCCGGGUUACCCGGCCUGAAUUUCUCUACGCAUGCGCGCAGAAUGCACCCACCAAAGAAGUAGUUACACGAGAGAAAAGGGUGAGACGUACAUCGGCCAUCGACCAAAUAUUUUCUUGAGAAAUUCGUGAAAGCGAAAGGAAAGCGAAAUCAUUCAUUUCACAUUCCGCACGCAUGCGCGAGAGAAUCCGGCCCGGCCAAUACAUUGGACACUCGAUGACAGUAGCUCUUGGACGCGCACAAUGUGUAGGUGUGUCGUGUGGUCGUAUGAUUGUAAACGAGAUCGGAAACUUGUCAGCCGUUGUCGUCCGUUCGACGAGUGUACGCGCACGUAUUCGUCGGAUAUUUCGCCGCGGCGGUAGCCAGCGAUACGACCGCGGUGCGAGGGUUCGUCUGAUCUCCCUCCGUGCUCCGAGGUAAUCUCAUCCGUACGCGCGCGCGAGCGAGCAAACGAGCGUGCUUGCGUGCGUGCGUGCGUGCGUGCGCGCGCGCGCGCACGCGUGUCAAAAGGUACGUGUACGCGAGGUACAUACAUACGCGCGCAGUAGAUAACGCACCUUCUCGCGCGGUGUGUCAGUGUCGUGUGUGCGCGAGAUCGUGAGUGCUCUCGUGAGAGAGUCGCCGUGAACGUUUCAAGUGGCAAGUUUCGGUAGCGCGCGCGAGAGGUGAUGAAACGGUGCGCUCGUGUGCGAAACGAGAACAAAGUGUGAUCGAGCGAGCGAGAGUGCGCGUCGACGACGACGACGGUACUGAUAGUGCAACUCGUCAACCGCGAACGGCGCACAGCCACCGGGCUGACCUGUCUGUCCCGUGCGCUUGCAUGCCACGCUCCGACGACGACGACGACGACGACGACGACGACGACGACGAGGACGAGGACGACGACGCAGCAAGAAUCGGGGAGCUACCCGCUGGAGACGCCUCGCUCGCGCUGCUUACCGAGGUGGGCCGUUUCGCUGAUACUGUACACAUUUCUAAAUUGACGAUGAAAAUCGAAACAUCCCAGGAUAUUACAUAGGCAGCGUAGAGAGAGAGAGAGAGAGAGAGAGAGAGAGAGAGAGAGAGAGAGAGAGAGAGAGAGAA
Molecule: long non-coding RNA, 1251 nt
Organism: Harpegnathos saltator (Jerdon's jumping ant)
Lineage: Eukaryota; Metazoa; Arthropoda; Insecta; Hymenoptera; Formicidae
Exons: 4
Source: RefSeq, a predicted model, not a curated record